CCUGCAGAGAGGAUUCUUCCAAGUUAAUUGUUUUACAAACUAAGACAAUGAGGGCCUCUAUUUCCUUCUCACCCUCCUGAAUUAGGAAUGUAUUCACCUUCUGAGGAGAAAUAGUCCCCUCUAAAUUCUUGAUGGCUUUCACCCUCGUCAGAAGAACCAUAUUCUGAAUCAAAUCUGAUGUAGCCCUCUUAGAACUCUCAGAAGCUUCUUU
Non-coding RNA from Pelobates cultripes (western spadefoot toad), 211 nucleotides. The record is from the annotation of a GenBank genome assembly. Lineage: Eukaryota; Metazoa; Chordata; Amphibia; Anura; Pelobatidae.